Cinara cedri is the source of this 232-nucleotide non-coding RNA. The record is from the annotation of a GenBank genome assembly. Lineage: Eukaryota; Metazoa; Arthropoda; Insecta; Hemiptera; Aphididae.
CAAAAGAUUCUGAUCCCACAGGGAGAAUAGUAUAGUACUAUAGUCAACCAUAAGGUGAAUUUCUUCACUUGCAGAAACAAUAUCAUAUGAAUGCUGGAAUCAAUGGAAUCAUCCACCAGUGGGAAGUUGGAGUUCCAAGUUUGCUAAAUCUGAAGCCCGAGAUCUAUAAUAGUAUUUAGUUAACAGACCAUAUUAUAAAAAUUAAAAUAUAACUUCAAAAAAUAUGCAGUUA